CCGUUCAGGCACAAGGAGCAGUAGGAGCAAAUAAGCUAACUGCUUGAAAGUGUGACAUGACAGAAAGGAGAACAGCAGAGACGACAUCUGCUGAGCAUGAAAUGCAUUACUGAGGCCUCUCAUAUGAAGAAGAAGAACAGCAGCGCCAUCUGCUGAACAUCAGAAAUGAAGAUUGACAGCCCUUCACCUCUGACAUCACUUCUGGGGUCUGAUCACAUUAACCA
Polypterus senegalus (gray bichir) is the source of this 224-nucleotide long non-coding RNA. RefSeq lists it as uncharacterized. The transcript is spliced from 3 exons. NCBI's taxonomy places the organism in Eukaryota, Metazoa, Chordata, Cladistia, Polypteriformes, Polypteridae. The record is from RefSeq and is a predicted model, not a curated record.